GACGAACGCUGGCGGCGUGCUUAACACAUGCAAGUCGAACGGAAAGGCCCUGCUUUUGUGGGGUGCUCGAGUGGCGAACGGGUGAGUAACACGUGAGUAACCUGCCCUUGACUUUGGGAUAACUUCAGGAAACAGGGGCUAAUACCGGAUAGGAGCUCCUGCUGCAUGGUGGGGGUUGGAAAGUUUCGGCGGUUGGGGAUGGACUCGCGGCUUAUCAGCUUGUUGGUGGGGUAGUGGCUUACCAAGGCUUUGACGGGUAGCCGGCCUGAGAGGGUGACCGGCCACAAUGGGACUGAGAUACGGCCCAGACUCCUACGGGAGGCAGCGGUGGGGAAUAUUACACAAUGGGCGGAAGCCUGAUGCAGCAACGCCGCGUGCGGGAUGACGGCCUUCGGGUUGUAAACCGCUUUCGCCUGUGACGAAGCGUGAGUGACGGUAAUGGGUAAAGAAGCACCGGCUAACUACGUG
Molecule: ribosomal RNA, 468 nt
Filed under: uncultured bacterium
Lineage: Bacteria
Description: partial 16S ribosomal RNA
Rfam family: Bacterial small subunit ribosomal RNA
Source: RNAcentral